AGAGAAAAUGUGAGCUCUAUAUCUGCAAAACAGGCAAAUGGCAUCUUUAUUCUAACAAUCUAGGAAAAGUAACAGAAUGUGAACUUGAAAAGCAGAAUGUGUGCAAUUGUCAAUGAAAUGAAGAGAAAAAAAAAAAAUGCAAAUACUUGCAGAAACAAAACAAAAAGAGAUGAGAUGCAAAUUUUGCAGUAACUUGCAGUGAAGAUCUUGUUUAUUAGGGAAAAGUGAAUUUCUACAUUGUGAUCAAAAUCUAUAAAUAAAGUAAGCAAAAGCUAACCUUGUUAUGAGAAGUAGUAGUAGUAGGU
This 305-nucleotide unclassified non-coding RNA is filed under the name Hevea brasiliensis (rubber tree). The record is from RNAcentral. Lineage: Eukaryota; Viridiplantae; Streptophyta; Magnoliopsida; Malpighiales; Euphorbiaceae.